RNAcentral lists this ribosomal RNA (312 nucleotides) under Gaetbulibacter sp. 5U11. RNAcentral describes it as "bacterial SSU rRNA". It matches the Rfam family "Bacterial small subunit ribosomal RNA", at positions 1 to 312 of the family's 1533-position model. Lineage: Bacteria; Pseudomonadati; Bacteroidota; Flavobacteriia; Flavobacteriales; Flavobacteriaceae. The record is from RNAcentral.
UAACGAUGAAGAGUUUGAUCCUGGCUCAGGAUGAACGCUAGCGGCAGGCUUAACACAUGCAAGUCGAGGGGUAGCAGGGGGCUUGCUCCGCUGACGACCGGCGAACGGGUGCGUAACGCGUAUAGAAUCUACCUCUUACUAAGGGAUAGCCCAGAGAAAUUUGGAUUAAUAUCUUAUAGUAUACAGACCUGGCAUCAGGAUUGUAUUAAAGGUUACGGUAAGAGAUGACUAUGCGUCCUAUUAGCUAGAUGGUGUGGUAACGGCACACCAUGGCUACGAUAGGUAGGGGCCCUGAGAGGGGGAUCCCCCACA